CGAUGGAGUAGGAGACUUGGCCAUUCAGCCCUAGGUCCAGGUCAGAGGCGCUGACUUGUGGGAUGGAGGCUCCGGGAAGGUUGUUUUCGGCCACGUGGACCACGUAGGAGACCUGGUGGAAAACCGGAGCAUUGUCGUUGACUUCACCAAUGCGUAGGGUGAGGCUUGUGCUGGAUGAAAGUGGAGGCUUGCCCUUGUCAGUGGCAGUGAUGGUGACGUUGUACUCCGGGAUCCGCUCCCAAUCCAGGGUCCCAUCUGUUACAAGCUUAUAGUCAUUACUGGCGGAAGAUUCGAUUCUAAAAGGAACUCUUUCGUUUAUGAGGCAUGUAACGUCCCCAUUUUCUCUCGAAUCUUUAUCAUGUGUUUUGAACAGAGUGAUCACCGUCCAGGGUUCUGCGUCUCAGUUACAGAACUGGACACCGAAGUAAAAACCACGUCUGGGGCAUUGUCGUUCUCA
RNAcentral lists this non-coding RNA (457 nucleotides) under Pan troglodytes (chimpanzee). Lineage: Eukaryota; Metazoa; Chordata; Mammalia; Primates; Hominidae. The record is from RNAcentral.